RNAcentral lists this ribosomal RNA (484 nucleotides) under uncultured bacterium. RNAcentral describes it as "bacterial SSU rRNA". It matches the Rfam family "Bacterial small subunit ribosomal RNA", at positions 28 to 507 of the family's 1533-position model. The record is from RNAcentral.
GAUGAACGCUAGCGGGAGGCUUAACACAUGCAAGUCGAGGGGCAGCAUAGGGUAGCAAUACUCUGAUGGCGACCGGCAAACGGGUGAGUAACGCGUAUGCAACCUACCAUUGAUUGGGGCAUAGCCCGAAGAAAUUCGGAUUAAUACUCCAUAAUAUUCAUCAAAGGCAUCUUUAUGAAUUAAAGCUUUUGCGAUCAAUGAUGGGCAUGCGUGACAUUAGUUAGUUGGUGAGGUAACGGCUCACCAAAACGAUGAUGUCUAGGGGUUCUGAGAGGAAGGUCCCCCAACUGGUACUGAGACACGGACCAGACUCCUACGGGAGGCAGCAGUGAGGAAUAUUGGUCAAUGGGCGAGAGCCUGAACCAGCCAUCCCGCGUGCAGGAAGACGGCCCUAGUGGGUUGAAACUGCUUUUGCGCAUGAAGAAUGUUACCGACGUGUCGGUAAGUGACGGUACCGUGGGAAUAAGCAUCGGCUAACUCCGUG